AAAAAACAAUCCAUUCACUUUCUCAAAACUUCCACUUGAGCAAAUAAAACCAUCAUUUCAUUGAAUUGAUUAUAUUUUACCAUUUAUCUAAGAACAAAUUUCCUAAAUAAUUCAAACCAAACAGGCCGAGCAACAGUACACUCUCUUACUCAUAUCCACAUAUUUUCCUAACUAAGAGAUCAAAUUUUUUACAAACUUUUCAACAUCAAAUUUAGAUUCUUCAUCAAAACCAAAAAGAAAAUCGCAAUACCAAAGCAUAAUACAGUUGAAACCAAAAGUACAUAUAAAACGUUUCAACAACAAAUUUAGAAUCUUCAUCAAAACCAAAAGAAAAUCACAAUACCAAAGCAUAAUACAGUAGAAACCAAUAGUACAUAUUUAUUAAAGAGCUGAGAAAAGCUAAACAAAACAGACCCAAAUGAAAAGGAAUAAGGGACUUACGAACUUUUGAAAAUUCUCUUGUAAAUCAAGACAAGGACAGAAACCGGGAAUAAUAAACCCGAAGCCAGAACCACCAUCGGUGACGCCGAACGGAAUACCUAUCUUUUGGUUGUAGCAAGAUGGUUUUAUAAAGGGUGUGAGGUGUGGUGUUAUGUGAGGGAGUUUUA
Molecule: long non-coding RNA, 608 nt
Filed under: Nicotiana benthamiana
Lineage: Eukaryota; Viridiplantae; Streptophyta; Magnoliopsida; Solanales; Solanaceae
Description: long non-coding RNA (NBEN_LNC023180)
Source: RNAcentral